UACAGAGGUGGCAAGCGUUGUUCGGAAUUACUGGGCGUAAAGGGCGCGUAGGCGGUCGUGACAAGUCACUUGUGAAAUCUCCGGGCUUAACUCGGAACGGUCAAGUGAUACUGUCGGACUAGAGUACAGAAGGGGCAACUGGAAUUCUCGGUGUAGCGGUGAAAUGCGUAGAUAUCUGGAGGAACACCGGUGGCGAAGGCGGCAUCCUGGACCGGUAUUGACGCUGAUGCGCGAAAGCCAGGGGAGCAAACGGG
This 254-nucleotide ribosomal RNA is filed under the name uncultured bacterium. RNAcentral's name for it is "partial 16S ribosomal RNA". It matches the Rfam family "Bacterial small subunit ribosomal RNA", at positions 524 to 776 of the family's 1533-position model. The record is from RNAcentral.